This 170-nucleotide ribosomal RNA is filed under the name Acetobacter pasteurianus. RNAcentral's name for it is "partial 16S ribosomal RNA". It matches the Rfam family "Bacterial small subunit ribosomal RNA", at positions 338 to 525 of the family's 1533-position model. Lineage: Bacteria; Pseudomonadati; Pseudomonadota; Alphaproteobacteria; Acetobacterales; Acetobacteraceae. The record is from RNAcentral.
CCUACGGGAGGCAGCAGUGGGGAAUAUUGGACAAUGGGGGCAACCCUGAUCCAGCAAUGCCGCGUGUGUGAAGAAGGUCUUCGGAUUGUAAAGCACUUUCGACGGGGACGAUGAUGGCGGUACCCGUAGAAGAAGCCCCGGCUAACUUCGUGCCAGCAGCCGCGGUAAUA